CGGGACAGUGGCGCACGGGUGAGUAAGACGCAGCUGACCUGCCCUCGGGACGGGGAUAACGAUGCGAAAGCGACGCUAAUACCCGGUAAAAUCGGAGGCGUUAGAGAACUUCGAUGAGAGAUUUAUUGCCUGAGGAGGGGGCUGCGGCCCAUCAGGUAGUUGGUAGGGUAAGAGCCUACCAAGCCGACGACGGGUCGGGGGUCUGAGAGGACGGCCCCCCACACUGGGACUGAGACACGGCCCAG
RNAcentral lists this ribosomal RNA (245 nucleotides) under uncultured bacterium. RNAcentral's name for it is "partial 16S ribosomal RNA". It matches the Rfam family "Bacterial small subunit ribosomal RNA", at positions 88 to 334 of the family's 1533-position model. The record is from RNAcentral.